This is a long non-coding RNA of Gambusia affinis (western mosquitofish), 3634 nucleotides long. RefSeq lists it as uncharacterized. NCBI's taxonomy places the organism in Eukaryota, Metazoa, Chordata, Actinopteri, Cyprinodontiformes, Poeciliidae. The transcript is spliced from 3 exons. The record is from RefSeq and is a predicted model, not a curated record.
CGUCUGAAGAAAAGGAGGAAGACAAGAAAGAGAAGUACGAGGGGAAUCUCAAGCGCCACUCUCCUGGGUUCAGCCUGUUGUCAUAGUAACAGCAGCGAGGCAAGACGAGCGGCAGACAGGCAGAUUCCCUCCUUCGUGAUCUCAGCCUCUCUUUAUGUCUCUCGCCCAGACAUUAGUGGACAGCUGAUCUUAGUCCCCGGUUGUGCCUGUCUUCUGGUUCCUCUGCUGAUGGAAGAUGGGCUGACAGCGAGGAGACGACUGGCCACUCCACACACGGACGCCAACCAGCAGCAUGUCUGGAGGAAUGUUGCUGCCUGGGAGCCACUUUGAAAUGCUGCUCCUGACUCCGUCCUCCACCACAGCCUCCGCUGUGCGAGGCGCUGUCUGUGUGACUGGAGAAGAUCCACAAACUACCAAGCAGGAGACAAAUGUAGGCGGAGGACACACUCGGGGCCCCUCCUGUUUCACUCCAGAUCUCGUCUCCGACGUGCUGAAGGAAGACGCCCAAACCCGCUGACCCACUGCUCAAAACCUGCUUGACACACAUAAGCUCUGGCCACGGCGCUGACCGCGUUCACUAGGCGUUUGUUCUGCUUGUGAAACCCACUUGCUGAUUCUUGGCGUAAAACGUCGCAAUUCAAAACUGAGAAGAGAAGAGUCAUCAGUUUAAAAUCAUUACUGUUUACGAUAGUUUGAGCUCAAGAACACAUGAAAAUACUCAGUUUUGGUUGCAUUUAAUGUGAGACAUAACAUGUCAAACUACAAACUCCAGAUUCUGAAACAGUUGUUAUCAACACAUAUCUGGAAGUUGACACCAGGUCUUAGAAAUGGCAAACCUUUUAUAUGUCAGCUAAAAAAACCACCAAAAGGCAGUGGACCAAGAACCAAGACUUGGGGUACACCUGUAAUAAUUUUUGAAGCAAUGAUCUCUCUACACAUAUGACAACACAGUUUUCCACAACAUACUGAGCUUUUCUUUGAAAAGAAGUCCUCAAUUGUCAUUUCUGAAUAGAAAUAUCAUAAAUUAAAAAGUAAAGAUUUUAAAAUCCAACCCAGUUAUUGCAGUCUGAUUGUGUGACGAAUUGCUCUGUAUAUUUAAGAAGCAAUUACAAAUCUCUGGAUACGACUGAAAAGACGUAACAUUUAGGUAACCUCAUGUCCUCUGUACCACAGUAACAGCCUGAUAACUACUUGGAAACAAUACAGAUUACAGCAGAGUGAGGGAGUUGAUUUUAAAUCUGUUUAAGAGCAAAACCAGUGGCAAAAACCUCUGACGACAUUUGGCCAAUCAGUUCUGAAAUCACAAGGACAGACUACAAAUGUGAAGAUCUAAAAAUAUUGAUAUAUAGUGUAGUUUAUUUUUGUGGAGCCACUGUGACCACUGCUUAACAUAAGCUGCAAGGAUGUUAUUUUAUUUUAUUAAAACUUUCUGGAAGGUUCAGGUCAAAGUUGUUGGUUUAUUUUUUCAGGUAAAGGUCAUUUUAUUUAUGAAGCACAUUUUCAGCAACCAUGCAAUACAAGGUGCUUUACAGGAAAUACAAACAAAAUAAACUAAAGAAAAGAGCAAAAGAAGAAAACGCUAAUAAUGUUGAUCCAAAGCAAAUAAACUAGAUGCUCCUAUUCAGGGUUGGUAGAUAAGAAUAAGUGUCUUCUGGUCUAAUUCCUUUUCUGGGUUGGAAUAAUUGGAGUCUAACAAGUAGAUGCUCAGGUAGUUUUUCUGGACUCUUAAGUUCUAAUCCCUGUUCUGUGUUGCUAAAUAAGUGUAAUUAAAUAAGUAUCCUCUGGACUUUCUAAGUGUGUUCUAAAUUUGCAUCUAAGCGAUCACUGGAGCGUAAAGAAAAGUAAACCCUUUGAAUCUCUGAGACAGAAUUUGAAAUCGAGCCCACAAUAAACUAGUUACAGCACCUUUUAGCAGCCUGAAAUCCUGGUGUACUUUGUUUUUUAUUGCUAAAGCAAAGUGACUGAUUAUCCUUGAGCAAAAUGGCUCAAGCAACCCUGACUCCCCACUGUCCUCUCUGGAUAAACUCAAGUAGUUUUCCACGUUGUCAUCGGGUCCAGAUGCGUUGUCGUCCCGACAAAAGGGACGCAUAACCGACUCCUGGCUGGGACGUUUCAGGAUGACGGUAGCAUCUGUGGGGCUGGAGCGAAGCAGGGAGAUGGAAAAAAAUGUCAAGAGAGAUUAGCAGGGAUGGACGGGUUGUGAAGGAGACGGAGAAUACGAAGCAAUCUGAAGACGAGGCAGGAAUCGUAUCUGUGUAUGGAGAGGGCAGCUUCGUAUGCGACAGGACACACAUGUGUGAUUGUCUGUUUUAAUGCCUCGUUGGUUUGCUGGUCCACCACCUGCCAAGUUGUUUGCAAGAGACCGUGUGUGUGUGGGUGUGUGUAUGUGUGUGUGUUCACCAGCGACUGUGCAUAUAACUGUUGGUUACAAAUGGAUGAAAUCAUCUCUGAGUUGCUCAUCUGCUAUAAAAGCCUGAAAGAUAUGCACUAACUAUUGUUACAAAUGACAUAUUUCUGUUAAGAUGCCUUAAUGGGUUUUGGUGGCAUUUUAGUUUUAUAAAAUCAGAUCCUAUCUGGAGGCCUGCAACAAGAUACAGACAUUGGGAAAUCCUUUACAUGUAAUUUUUUUUUUUUUUAAAUCUGAAAGGAAGUGGACCAAGAACUAAGCCUUGAGGUACACCUUCAGUCAUUUUUGAAGUUAUGAUUUCUUUACACGUGGUGCAAUAUUUUUUUUUCUCCACAUUGUGCAAUGUACAACUUAAACCACUCUAAUGUUAAAGAGAACAAGAGUGGUCAUUUCUGAAUAGAUGCAGCAUGGUUUAAGAUUUUAAGGAUUUUGAAAUCCAGCCCAGAUACUUUACUGCAAUUGAGCCAAGAAGCAAAUAAAUAAAUCAAUCGCACGAUAAACUGAAUAAUUUUUAUUUGCUUGAUUCAUCGUUUUUCUCUUUUCUCUUUCUUUUUUAACAAAAACUGAAUGAUAAAAGUCUACAGUUUGGUCCUUUGGUCUCGACUAUGUCUUUCUUUGGGAGAUAACUUUGUUUAUGCAGACUUCAUAACUCAUUUAAUUUGUUGUUUCUGUUAUUUUGUUUAUUUAUUUUUAGACAUUUGAAACGUCUCCCAGUUCAAGUGUUUAACUAUUCAUUACAAUUUAAAGUUUAUUGAGCCUUGAGAAUGUGUUCUUGCAUUACUAUGAUAUUACGAUUAUGAUAAAUGGUCUCAAAACAACAAUAUUAUCGUUUAUCGCAAUAAGUUCUGGGACAGUUUAUGGUCCACCUGUUGUGACAAGUCUAAUUACAAGAGUCUGUUUAUGAGUGAAAAGAUUUAACAGUGAGGCAAUCUCACAUACUCUAUACCAAAGUAAAAACGUUCUUGUAAUGUUUGACUAGUUUAAUAUUAAAAUUUGACACCCAUGAGGAUUUCAAGACUGUUGCUUCUUUUGCAGCACUUUAUUUUUUGCUAGAUUUAAUUGGUUUUCAUUGAUUUCCCAUUGAGGCUUUUUGCUUAGUUAGAGAAAGCAAACUACGGAAAAACACAGUAAAGACAUCUUUAUUGCAAAGGUAUAUACACUUUAAACAGCGCAUAAUGGAAAUGAGAGAAAAAAAUUGCAAGAGGCUGUUUUCAUUUCAAAUCUAGU